UGCACUGUUUCAAAGAAAAGCUCAUAACGUGCAGAAAGUCUCUUCAAAUCAAAUAAAUCCCUUUCUGGAAACUGCCACAUCAGCCAAAUUUGCCAAAGAGAGGAAGUUUUUUGCUACUGUCUAAAGUUCCAUGUGUUCCUUCGGAAACUUCUUUUGAAGAAAUACACAUAUAGGACCGCCUGGGACCUACUUCCCCAAAUUAGUGAGGCUGUGUGCUCACCUGAAUAAGCAUUGAGUUCCCAUUGAAUAGGAAAUGAGAUACAUGGGGAAAUCAGUGAACCAUGAUGGAGUGAAGGGAGAGUUAUCUGAAUCAAUAUAUGUACCACUGACAUUAUUUUUGCAGAAUCACAGAGGAGUUGUGAUGGGAAAGAACCUCUGGAGAGCAUCUUGUCUAACUCUCUUGCUCAAAACAGGAUCAACUGGAACAGGAUAUUCAGGGCUGUGUCUAGACAGGUUUUGAGUAUCUCCAAGGACAGAGAGUCUGCGACCUCUCUUGGCAACUUGCUCAAGGACUCACUCCAGUAUGCCCAUGUAUCUCUUGUACUGGGUGGGGUCUGUUGAGAUCCCUCUGAAUGGCAGCACAACCGUCUGAUACAUCAGCCACCCCUCCCAGUUUUCUAUCAUCUGCAAACUUGCUGAGGAUGCACUCAGUCCCAUCAUUAAUGAAGAAGUUAAACAGUUCUGGACCCACUAUAAAUUCCUGGGCUAUGCCACUAGUCAAUGGCCACCAUCUCCAUUUUAUUCUGCUGGUCACAACCCUUUAAGCCUUUUCCUAUAAAUGGGAACAGGCAAAUUGGAUGGAAAUUCACAUUAUUAAAAUAUCUAGAUUACUCACUGGAGCACUUCUCUUGAUUGAGAAAGGCAUCAUCCCCAAAAGGUUGUGCUCCACCUUGGAGUUGUAAUUUCCAGGUCAGAAAAGCUUCAUACUAAUUGGAAAAUCCCUCAUGUACUGGGAAUACCUGGAGCUGUGCCUUCAUUUUUUGCUCACCUAUCCUUACUGAGCCCUCUAUGCUUGGCUGUCAGUUACUUCUGAAACUUAAUCACAGCUAGCAAAAUCCCUACACUCAUACAGGGUCAAACUUUGCUCAUUAAAUGUCUUGGUCCCAGCUUUUGAGAGAGGCAAUGCCAGAGCUGAGAUGUCAAUACUCAGAACACCUGGGAUGGCACAGCUCGUGCCACCCACACUGUCAAUGUUGUGCAUCUCACAGCUGAACAGAACACAGAACCUAGACCCCAGUUAGGAGGACAGAACAAAAACCCCAGUACUAUCACAUCCUCUAUAGUGAACUGUACAAAAUCACACUGAUGCUUCAGCUUGCAUCCAGAAAUACUGCUUUUGUUUUUGUGGGGUAUUACAACCACAUAAUUAAAUCUUUUCUGCUCAGGUUUUGUAAUCAGCCUACCCACAUCUGCACCCGUGGUGUUGACUUUCCUUCCAGCAGUUAAGUCUCAUACUGAGUUUUCAGAGCCAGUUACUGUAGCUGGUCCCUUCAUCUGCAUAAAGAAUUAUGCCUGCACAUCCAAGGGGGCAACAAAAUAAACCCCCUCAGACUACUCAGUGUCAGAGCAUGAGGCUCUCCUCUAGAUUUCUCUUUCUUUAGAACUUCAUCAACAACUACUGAUGGAAGAAAUUGUUUCAUGUUUCAGCUACAAAGUUGUGAAAGUCAAGCUGCAACUGGGAGUUAUUUCACGGGAUGUGGUAUGUCAGGAGAAGGACGUACACACCAGAAGAAUGCCUCUCCCUGUGUCUUUAUUUUAUUUCUAAGUUUUGUAGUCCUGUAAGACUUAGUCCUAUAAUACCAGCUUUGCACUCACCAAGGUAUAACCUUUAUGAACCUAACUCUAUCCAGCAAACACCCCCUGUCUUCAGCCUUCAAAGGGGUGAAGGAAUACUACUGCUUUAUACCACAUUAUUUAGGGGCUUCCUAGAGUUCAAUAUAUUAAUGCAGUUCACUCCAUUCAGCAGCAAAUCUAUUUUGUCUUUAGGAAGGUUAUAUUCAGCUGUGCAGAAUGUGAGAAAUAAUCCCAGUCAUGUCAGGCAAUUAAAGUAGUAUUAUUCCUUACAACUUUAGUUCUUAAUUUACUGUUUGAAUCCCUACACUGUUAAGUCAAAUAUUUUUAUAGAAAAAAUCAACGUGGCAACACACAAUAAUGUUAAAGCCUUACACCUCCUACAUCUUUUUUUUCUGUAUGAGAGCAUUAGAGUCUGGCAUGCAAACAAGAUAAUUUAAUAUUUAACCUGAAAUUUAGGCAAUGAGAUUGUUCUUAAACUUAUAGAUGAAUUAAUCAUUUAAUGAGGCUUAUUUAAAUUAUAGAAUUUAUUAAAGGGAUAAUUAAGGUUAAUUAUUUUUUUUUCCUUAGUUUUCCAGCUUUCCAUGCCUUUGUUUGCAGUCAGUCAUUUGCAACAUUUUAAAAAUUGAAUUGUGAGCUGGAAUUUUCCAGACUUAUUUAGAGCUCAGUGGCAGUUCUGGGGAGGAGUGAAGAUCCAAGUAAAAUUGGUUUAGAUGCUUAUGAUUUCAGACCAGAAAUGAACAACAUUCUUCAGCCUGGCUACUGAUCUUUCAUGGGAAUAAUUUGAAAACAGAUGAAUAUGUUUUGUUCUAACUUGGCUUAUGAUUUCUUGGGUAUAUUCCUUUAAU
Oxyura jamaicensis (ruddy duck) is the source of this 2639-nucleotide long non-coding RNA. RefSeq lists it as uncharacterized. The transcript is spliced from 3 exons. Lineage: Eukaryota; Metazoa; Chordata; Aves; Anseriformes; Anatidae. The record is from RefSeq and is a predicted model, not a curated record.